This 496-nucleotide ribosomal RNA is filed under the name uncultured bacterium. RNAcentral's name for it is "partial 16S ribosomal RNA". It matches the Rfam family "Bacterial small subunit ribosomal RNA", at positions 29 to 507 of the family's 1533-position model. The record is from RNAcentral.
AUGAACGCUGGCGGCGUGCCUAAUACAUGCACGUCGAGCGAACAGAUGAGGAGCUUGCUCCUCUGACGUUAGCGGCGGACGGGUGAGUAACACGUGGAUAACCUGCCUAUAAGACUGGGAUAACUUCGGGAAACCGGAGCUAAUACCGGAUAAUAUAUUGAACCGCAUGGUUCAAUAGUGAAAGACGGUUUUGUUGUCACUUAUAGAUGGAUCCGCGCCGCAUUAGCUAGUUGGUAAGGUAACGGCUUACCAAGGCAACGAUGCGUAGCCGACCUGAGAGGGUGAUCGGCCACACUGGAACUGAGACACGGUCCAGACUCCUACGGGAGGCAGCAGUAGGGAAUCUUCCGCAAUGGGCGAAAGCCUGACGGAGCAACGCCGCGUGAGUGAUGAAGGUCUUCGGAUCGUAAAACUCUGUUAUUAGGGAAGAACAAAUGUGUAAGUAACUAUGCACGUCUUGACGGUACCUAAUCAGAAAGCCACGGCUAACUACGUG